CCUACGGGAGGCAGCCGUGGGGAAUAUUGGACAAUGGGCGCAAGCCUGAUCCAGCCAUACCGCGUGGGUGAAGAAGGCCUUCGGGUUGUAAAGCCCUUUUGUUGGGAAAGAAAUCCUGCCGGCUAAUACCUAGCGGGGAUGACGGUACCCAAAGAAUAAGCACCGGCUAGCUUCGUGCCAGCAGCCGCGGUAAUACGAAGGGUGCAAGCGUUACUCGGAAUUACUGGGCGUAAAGCGUGCGUAGGUGGUUGUUUAAGUCUACUGUGAAAGCCCUGAGCUCAACCUGGGAAUUGCAGUGGAUACUGGGUCACUAGAGUGUGGUAGAGGGUGGCGGAAUUCCCGGUGUAGCAGUGAAAUGCGUAGAGAUCGGGAGGAACAUCCGCGGCGAAGGCGGCCACCUGGGCCAACACUGACACUGAGGCACGAAAGCGUGGGGAGCAAACAGGAUUAGAUACCCUGGUAGUCCACGCCCUAAACGAUGCGAACUGGAUGUUGGGUUCAACUUGGAACCCAGUAUCGAAGCUAACGCGUUAAGUUCGCCGCCUGGGGAGUACGGUCGCAAGACUGAAACUCAAAGGAAUUGACGG
This 587-nucleotide ribosomal RNA is filed under the name uncultured bacterium. Its description in RNAcentral is "bacterial SSU rRNA". It matches the Rfam family "Bacterial small subunit ribosomal RNA", at positions 338 to 916 of the family's 1533-position model. The record is from RNAcentral.